UGUUUUAUUUAUUUUAUUUAUUUUCUUUCCAUUUCUUUUUUAUUUUGAUUUUCGUAUUUAAUGAUGUUUUUAUUUUAUUUUAUUCUUGACUUUUAUAGUUAUUAUUAUUGUUGUUUUUGUUAUUUUUAUGGUUUUUUAUUAUUUCAUUUAUUUACAUAUUUUAUUCUAAAUUGUGUCUUUAAAUUUCGUUUAUGUUUUAAUUCAUUUCUUUACUUUCAAUAUUUUUUUAUAAACUAUUUUCCUUACAUUAUUUAUGUAUUUAUUUGUUUAUUUAUUUUUUUAAGUUGGUGUUGUCCUUUUAUGUGCAUACAUUGGCAUUAUUA
This 323-nucleotide long non-coding RNA is filed under the name Gossypium raimondii (Peruvian cotton). RNAcentral describes it as "long non-coding RNA (GRAI_LNC001692)". The record is from RNAcentral. Lineage: Eukaryota; Viridiplantae; Streptophyta; Magnoliopsida; Malvales; Malvaceae.